GACGAACGCUGGCGGCGUGCCUAAUACAUGCAAGUAGAACGCACAGUUUAUACCGUAGCUUGCUACACCAUAAACUGUGAGUUGCGAACGGGUGAGUAACGCGUAGGUAACCUGCCUGGUAGCGGGGGAUAACUAUUGGAAACGAUAGCUAAUACCGCAUAAUAUUGAUUAUUGCAUGAUAAUUGAUUGAAAGAUGCUAUUGCAUCACUACCAGAUGGACCUGCGUUGUAUUAGCUAGUAGGUGAGGUAACGGCUCACCUAGGCGACGAUACAUAGCCGACCUGAGAGGGUGAUCGGCCACACUGGGACUGAGACACGGCCCAGACUCCUACGGGAGGCAGCAGUAGGGAAUCUUCGGCAAUGGACGAAAGUCUGACCGAGCAACGCCGCGUGAGUGAAGAAGGGUUUCGGAUCGUAAAGCUCUGUUGUAAGAGAAGAACGGGUGUGAGAGUGGAAAGUUCACACUGUGACGGUAUCUUACCGGAAAGGGACGGCUAACUACGUG
RNAcentral lists this ribosomal RNA (505 nucleotides) under uncultured bacterium. RNAcentral's name for it is "partial 16S ribosomal RNA". It matches the Rfam family "Bacterial small subunit ribosomal RNA", at positions 28 to 507 of the family's 1533-position model. The record is from RNAcentral.